Long non-coding RNA from Hippocampus zosterae (dwarf seahorse), 782 nucleotides. RefSeq lists it as uncharacterized. The record is from RefSeq and is a predicted model, not a curated record. The transcript has 2 exons. Lineage: Eukaryota; Metazoa; Chordata; Actinopteri; Syngnathiformes; Syngnathidae.
UAUCUGUCCAAGGGACAUAGAAAAUAAAAUCGACCAAAAGCGUGAUACAGAACAAGAGUCUGCGGGAUCACCUUUCGGCACUUGUUUUUUUGCAGAUGAAAAGAAAAACAUAAGAGAGGAGGGAAAAAGACAAGCCCAGACGAAGCUCCUGUUCUUUGUCGAACUCGAUUUUUAUUUGACGCGAUAACAAGAGAGCAACAUUGUCCAAUGAAAUGCGAUUUCAUCUGCCCAGGCGGACUAUUCUGAGCUGCCCGAGCUCACUUUGCUCCCUCAUCACUUCCGCCAUGACUGAUCUUUCACCUUCCCUCCCGGUUUGCUGCCUCAGCUCGUCGGGGGGAACCGGAACGCACACUGAUGGACGACACAGGCCCGCUGGUUGUUUUUCUUCAUGAUGUCAGGUGGCAGUGGCGGGCGUUUCCUCCAGCGUGCACACCUGCUGCCAAUUUGAUCACCAGGUGAAGGACUGCGAAGAGCCGAUGUCUCUUGUUGGAUUGUUGUCCUCGUUGCUGCUCUUGCUCAAGUGUUGUUUUCUAGACCUCUCCAUCUCGUCAUUGUUGUUUUUGAGCUGUAGCCUUCCGCUUCGUAAGUAUUUAUUUUCUUUUUUGGUCUUUGAUCCUGCUCAUGUUUUUGUUUGGACUUUUUGUCGUUUCGUUUAUAUCUCGGAAGUUUCUUUUUCCUUUGCAAGCGCUUCUUGUAAAUGUAAAGUUUUCCUUGUUCUUUUGACCAGUAAUUUCUGUUUAUACUUUGUCGGUGUGUUUCUGUUUUAAAUAUUUUUGUGCAGG